This 229-nucleotide ribosomal RNA is filed under the name uncultured bacterium. RNAcentral's name for it is "partial 16S ribosomal RNA". It matches the Rfam family "Bacterial small subunit ribosomal RNA", at positions 568 to 796 of the family's 1533-position model. The record is from RNAcentral.
UGCGUAGGCGGGCUAAUAAGUCAGUGGUGAAAUCUCUCGGCUCAACCGGGAAACUGCCAUUGAUACUAUUAGUCUUGAGUUCGGUUGAGGUAGGCGGAAUGUGUAAUGUAGCGGUGAAAUGCUUAGAUAUUACACAGAACACCAAUUGCGUAGGCAGCUUACUAGACCGACACUGACGCUGAGGCACGAAAGCGUGGGGAGCGAACAGGAUUAGAUACCCUGGUAGUCC